This 231-nucleotide long non-coding RNA is filed under the name Elaeis guineensis (African oil palm). Its description in RNAcentral is "long non-coding RNA (EGUI_LNC078840)". Lineage: Eukaryota; Viridiplantae; Streptophyta; Magnoliopsida; Arecales; Arecaceae. The record is from RNAcentral.
UAGGCUAUUUGGAUUUGAUCUUGUUGAACUUGCUUAUACAUAAACUCAGAAAAUUGAUGUGCAGUUGGGUAUUUACUCACAAAGUGAAUAAGGCUCGAACAUAUUGCGCAAACUUAUUGUGCAGAAAGAAAAGAUGGAGAAGGAGGGUGUCCGAUAGCCAGUAGACUAUCUAAUUUAUGAGACAACUCAUCCACUCUAAUGUAAAGAUCUAUAUUCUUAGCACGGAUCUAA